RNAcentral lists this ribosomal RNA (201 nucleotides) under uncultured bacterium. Its description in RNAcentral is "partial 16S ribosomal RNA". It matches the Rfam family "Bacterial small subunit ribosomal RNA", at positions 1300 to 1500 of the family's 1533-position model. The record is from RNAcentral.
GUAGUCUGCAACUCGACUACAUGAAGCUGGAAUCGCUAGUAAUCGCGGAUCAGAAUGCCGCGGUGAAUACGUUCCCGGGUCUUGUACACACCGCCCGUCACACCAUGGGAGUCGGAAACGCCCGAAGCCAGUGACCCAACUGAAAGGAGGGAGCUGUCGAAGGCAGGUCUGAUAACUGGGGUGAAGUCGUAACAAGGUACC